GGCCUUAUAGUCAAUAAUGAUAUUAGACUGCAAUUCUAAAGGGGUAGAUUUUCUGCUAAGGCUU
Molecule: transfer RNA, 64 nt
Filed under: Diamphipnoa annulata
Lineage: Eukaryota; Metazoa; Arthropoda; Insecta; Plecoptera; Diamphipnoidae
Description: tRNA-Cys
Source: RNAcentral